CAUAGCGACUAUCGUGGCAUAUCAAUAAGCGGAGGAAAAGAAACUAACAAGGAUUCCCUUAGUAACGGCGAGUGAAGCGGGAAGAGCUCAAAUUUGAAAUCUUCAAGGUUCUACCUUGACGAAUUGUAGUUUAUAGAAGUGUUUUCUGUUAGUGGAGUGGCAAAAGUUCUUUGGAAUAGGACAUCAUAGAGGGUGAGAAUCCCGUAUUUGGUCAUUCCUCCUAGCGUUGUGAUACACUUUCAACGAGUCGGAUUGUUUGGGAAUGCAGUCCAAAAUGGGUGGUAAAUUUUAUCUAAAGCUAAAUAUUGGCGAGAGACCGAUAGCGAACAAGUACCGUGAGGGAAAGAUGAAAAGAACUUUGAAAAGAGAGUUAAACAGUACGUGAGAUUGUCAAAAGGGAAGCGUUUGACACCAGUGUUGUUCUUCCGAAAAUCAAUUACGAAUGUUUUAUUUUUGAGGAGUUAUGACUUCAUCGGCUUGCUUCCUCUCUUUAUGAAACUUUCUUAAUGCACUUUUCGGUUAACAAGUCAACAUCAAUUUCUUUUGUUGUAAAAGGGUAUGAGGAAGGUGGCUUUCUUUUCGGAGAAAGUGUUUAUAGCCUUGUACCUCUGCAAUCGGAGAGAUUGAGGUCUGCAGCGUAGAUCCUUCGGGGUUAGAUACAUUUGUGCUAAGUUAUAGCUUUUCAUAGACAACUUGUUGACUAUGUUUAGUCUUGUAGCUUACUCGCAGAUGCUAUUUUACCUACGCUUAGGAUGUUGAUAGUCACAGCGUGUAC
RNAcentral lists this ribosomal RNA (775 nucleotides) under uncultured Neocallimastigales. RNAcentral describes it as "partial large subunit ribosomal RNA". It matches the Rfam family "Eukaryotic large subunit ribosomal RNA", at positions 22 to 643 of the family's 3401-position model. The record is from RNAcentral. Lineage: Eukaryota; Fungi; Neocallimastigomycota; Neocallimastigomycetes; Neocallimastigales.